UACGGAGGGGGCUAGCGUUGUUCGGAAUUACUGGGCGUAAAGGGUGCGUAGGCGGCUGUUCAAGUCAGACGUGAAAGGCCUGGGCUCAACCUGGGAACUGCGUUUGAGACUGGACGGCUUGAGUCCGGGAGAGGUGAGCGGAAUUCCCAGUGUAGAGGUGAAAUUCGUAGAUAUUGGGAAGAACACCGGUGGCGAAGGCGGCUCACUGGACCGGUACUGACGCUGAGGCACGAAAGCGUGGGGAGCAAACAGG
Molecule: ribosomal RNA, 253 nt
Filed under: Rhodospirillales bacterium
Lineage: Bacteria; Pseudomonadati; Pseudomonadota; Alphaproteobacteria; Rhodospirillales
Also listed under: 1 other name
Description: partial 16S ribosomal RNA
Rfam family: Bacterial small subunit ribosomal RNA
Source: RNAcentral